AUGAUUUAAAACUUCAACGAACAAUAAAAUAUGAAAUGCAGAAAACUAAAAAAGAAUUAGGAUCAUUUUGUAAACAAUUUGAUUAUACUUUAAAAUCUCCACAGAAAUGUGAUGGACAAUGCUCGCGAACACAUAAAUCUAAAAAACAGUAUAAAAAUAAAUAUUAUAAAAGACGAUACAGGUCUACACCUAGUCAAGAUAAAUUUUAUUCUAA
RNAcentral lists this long non-coding RNA (214 nucleotides) under Jatropha curcas. Its description in RNAcentral is "long non-coding RNA (JCUR_LNC001759)". The record is from RNAcentral. Lineage: Eukaryota; Viridiplantae; Streptophyta; Magnoliopsida; Malpighiales; Euphorbiaceae.